UACGGAGGGUGCGAGCGUUGUCCGGAAUCACUGGGCGUAAAGGGCGCGUAGGUGGCCUGUGGAAGUCUGCGGUGAAAGCCCGGCGCUCAACGCCGGGUCGGCCGUGGAUACUCUCGGGCUCGAGCUCACUAGAGGCAGAUGGAAUUCCGGGUGUAGCGGUGGAAUGCGUAGAGAUCCGGAAGAACACCGGUGGCGAAGGCGGUGAGCUGGGCAGUUGCUGACACUGAGGCGCGACAGCGUGGGGAGCAAACAGG
This 254-nucleotide ribosomal RNA is filed under the name uncultured bacterium. RNAcentral describes it as "partial 16S ribosomal RNA". It matches the Rfam family "Bacterial small subunit ribosomal RNA", at positions 524 to 776 of the family's 1533-position model. The record is from RNAcentral.